This 110-nucleotide small RNA is filed under the name Escherichia coli. RNAcentral's name for it is "RtT sRNA". It matches the Rfam family "RtT RNA". Rfam says of the family: This family represents a bacterial cis-regulatory element known as RtT RNA. The exact function of RtT is unknown although it is thought that it may be involved in changing the cellular response in relation to amino acid starvation. The record is from RNAcentral. Lineage: Bacteria; Pseudomonadati; Pseudomonadota; Gammaproteobacteria; Enterobacterales; Enterobacteriaceae. RNAcentral also lists the same sequence under 14 other names.
CAAGGUGUUAAAUCGUCAGGAUGAGAACCGUAAAGGUUCGAGUCUCGCGAAGCGAGACAACAUCACUCCGGUGGUGGCCCGAAGGGCGAGUUAUCCUACACGACCCACCA